Molecule: ribosomal RNA, 374 nt
Filed under: Escherichia coli
Lineage: Bacteria; Pseudomonadati; Pseudomonadota; Gammaproteobacteria; Enterobacterales; Enterobacteriaceae
Description: partial 23S ribosomal RNA
Rfam family: Bacterial large subunit ribosomal RNA
Source: RNAcentral
UAUCAUUAACUGAAUCCAUAGGUUAAUGAGGCGAACCGGGGGAACUGAAACAUCUAAGUACCCCGAGGAAAAGAAAUCAACCGAGAUUCCCCCAGUAGCGGCGAGCGAACGGGGAGCAGCCCAGAGCCUGAAUCAGUAUGUGUGUUAGUGGAAGCGUCUGGAAAGGCGCGCGAUACAGGGUGACAGCCCCGUACACAAAAAUGCACAUGCUGUGAGCUCGAUGAGUAGGGCGGGACACGUGGUAUCCUGUCUGAAUAUGGGGGGACCAUCCUCCAAGGCUAAAUACUCCUGACUGACCGAUAGUGAACCAGUACCGUGAGGGAAAGGCGAAAAGAACCCCGGCGAGGGGAGUGAAAAAGAACCUGAAACCGUGU